UACCUAAAACUCAUCGUUUCAUUAAUCUUUAAUAUGGGCUGCUGCGUUUCAGAUAUGCAUUACUUAUGGUUUAAAAGGCCAUUUGUUCACAAUAUAGCCCAAAUACAGAGAGACCACCCACUAAAUUUUUAGGUUUACGUGUUCUUUUCCCCCAGUUACGUGAAGAGUCUUCUUCUUUGAUCUUCUAUACAUCUAUGGAGUUUCAGUGUCUUCAAUACACAUGAAGAAUGGCUUUGUGAAUCUUCGAUCUGGCGUUCUGUCUUCUAUUCAAAUAAAGGGUAACGUUUCUCCUAAUUGAUUUAUCCUCUUUAUCAUGCUCCUUAAAUCCAUCACCCUUCUUCGAGCACGAUCUGUUAUUGAAGCCACAUUAUUCAUCCAAGGCGGUGUCUCCACUCCUAUAAAAGUCCGGUCAAUGCUCCUCCACCUUUCAAGUGCGGUUGCUAGGUUCUGGGAGGCCAAGAACAACAAGCUUGGGCUGAUGGGCGUGGAUAUGCUCUUUUUGGAUUUAAAGGAUUUCUUUAAAAACCCAUGUUCACAGUUCUUGAAUUCAUGUUCGUAGUUAAGUUAAACUAUUCUGGUAUGUAAUCUCAAUAUUAUUAGGUUCUGAAUUUAGAUAUUUGUUAGGUGAGUUUGUUCGUAAACUCCUGUUAAUAAUGUUAUUAAAUAUUGUUUAGGAUUCCUCGCCCUCUUUCUUUGAAUAUUGUUCUUAGAUUUAUGGAUUGUAUGUUAUUUAUGAAUUCUUAGGUGUAGUCUUACUCUGAAAAGUUUGUUUGUUUUAUUUUCUUCAAUGGAAGCAUGCACCUUUUGUUAAGAACGGAUUACUUAAACAUUCUAGCAAUUAAAAGAUCAAUCUAUUACCAAGACGAGUCAAAUUUUAAAUAGUGAUUCCACCUUUGCAGGCCUUGAAAGACAGCCAAGAAGAUUUCAAGAAAAUCAUCAGAGCGAUCAGUGUUUGAAGCAAAAUAAAGAAACAGCUAAGUAAUCUAUCCACACAGAGAUAGUGUUCUUAAUCUCCCAAUCAAUAGUGUGGAAAAUAGUUGUAGUGGUAAAUGAGGUGUUGUUGUGAAGAACACUGUUACUCUGUUUCCAAAUAUGAAACACGACAGGCCUGAGUUACCAUUUUCCGAGGAAGGAGCCGGUGCUUCCAUCCCAUAGUAGCUGCAAAAGCAGAAAUAGUAUUAACAUUGUAGUUGUUGGCUUGAUUACUUCUGAUCCAUGCUAGCAGUUCUGACCAAUUCAUAAACAUUUCCAAUGUUCCGCUUAUACGUAAGAAAACCAGACUCCAUAUAUCUGAGCUAUAGUCACAGCUGAGAAGAAGAUGAUCCCGAGAACAGAGGCAGCUUGAUGUUUGGUUGAGUAUGCUUGAUGUGAAAAUGGUUCAUUCGUUAAGUGAGAGGUGCUCUUUUUUUUUUGUCACAGAAGUGAGAGGUGCUCUAAGUUGUUUUGUUUUGUAUUGAUACAUUUUUUUUAAAUUAAUACAACCCUUCAUUUUUGUUGACCAAA
Brassica napus (rape) is the source of this 1503-nucleotide long non-coding RNA. RefSeq lists it as uncharacterized. The record is from RefSeq and is a predicted model, not a curated record. Lineage: Eukaryota; Viridiplantae; Streptophyta; Magnoliopsida; Brassicales; Brassicaceae. The transcript is spliced from 3 exons.